AAAUCUUUUAAGCCUAGUUACUCCAUGAUUGGACAAUGUUUGUCAAAUAAAAACAAAAGUACUGCAGUGUCGUUUUCUCAAAAAAAUUUGAAACUAAACGAGGCCAUAAUAGGAAAAAUACAAGUGCUCAGUGGCCGGUGGAACAAACAACAACACACACCGCACAUCACAGGUCACCACUACUGGCUGCUGCAACAACACCCCCUCUGCCAACUGUCAACACGGGCCUCAAACACCAAAGAGCCCACACAGUGUCAACCACUAACUCGACACUAGUCAAAGCCACCUUCAAGCCAUUGGUAGGUAAAAUAUUUCUUUUAAAGAUAUAGCUAAAAUAUCCAUGAUAAGAUUUGCAUGUUGUGCUAAUACCCGUAGGGGCGGUAACCUUAGCUGCAGAGACUAUGGGCAUGUACCAUACUUGGUUCCCUCACCAAUCAGUGUAUACUACCUUGCCUAAACUUGGUUGGCAAGAUCAGGCAUUUAGUAGCACCUGCAAAUUAAAACUCACCUUGCCCAGCAAUCUCGCUUUGCGGGCCAGGCAAGGAUUUGGCUCUCCUCAGCUGGCAAGCUUUGUUGUUCAAUGCUUUCACCUCUCAUCUGAGUUGUGUUGCUCCAUGCUUCAAUCCAAAGUCUAGCAACCUCCAUGUUAGUGCCCAAAUCAAGCUCGCCACUGCAUAAAUCGAGCUCUUCCACACCAUAUCAAACCUCUCUUGCUUGAAUUAGCCUCACCUCACGGCAAGCAUCGAGCUUUAACUUUUCCCACUAGAUCAAGUUUGUCCCACCCUAAUCACGCAUGUCACAAUGUGAAUCUAGCCACCAUCACACAAAUCGAGUUUGUUGAAGAUUGAAUCUAGCUUCAUGCCACCAGAUCCCUGCAUGAAUCUAGCUCUCUUCAAAGUUCCACCAAGCUUCUCUCUGAUGGAAGGCCAUGCAACUUGGGAGGAGGUGGAAAGGUAAGUAAGAAAAGAAAACUAAUAAGCAAACAAGUUAACCAAAAAAAAGGAAGGGAUUAUGUCCUUGCUUGUCUAGGAAUGGCAAAGCAAUCUCAGUGAGGCUAGGUUCGUCGUGCAAUGCAACCAAGCACAACAUAUGUUGCUGUCCAGCAAGCAGGCUAGAAGAGGACAACACACAGUGUGUGUCAAAGGUCCUAACUACAUAUGUCAAAUAACUCUCACCACAGAUGCAAUACUCAUCUACGAUGGAGAUAAUUAGACCUACCUUCACAUAAUCGAGUACCCAAUAAUAGUCCUCAUUGAUGAUACCCGUCUAUUUGGAAGACAUUAUCUGAUCCCCUCUCAUCGAAGAGGUGGCUAGAUUAAUGAGGCACGUCUCUAAUGAGUUUUCUGUAGAGAUGUGUCCACAUGAGUGAUGAGAUCAGUGACAUAUGUUUGACUGUUCUAGAGUAGCCACAAGGGUCGUUACUCAUAAUUACUCUAUUGGACAUUUAAAAGUUGUACAUGAAGAACCAACGAGUACUCUAACAACUUAAUAAUAAGUGUCAUUUUUGCUCCAUGGUUUUGAAUAUCCUCCACAUGUCAUAUAUACUUGCAUGUCUUAUUAGUAUCUGAAAGUUUUCUACAAGAUCAAUUACACACCUACGAUGGACACUGGGACUUGGAAUGAACGAAAGAAAUGUAAUAUGGUUUUGUUUGCCAUUGUUGCUGCAGAAUAAUCAGGUAUCAUGUGUAUUUGCUCUCGAAGCACUGCAAGUAUUUUGCUAGGUGAAAUAUAUUUUGAAGUAGGCAGCAUGUAUCAACAUAAUUAAAUGCAGUGCACUAGUGUAGUAUUGCAAUCAUAUCAUCUUUUCACCUACUAAAAUUUCCAUAGAUUCCCUCUAGCUUCCAUUAUAUAUAUUAGUCAUCCUUACCUGGAGCAAUGCGUAAUAGCAGGGAUAGAGAGAAGUUUGUGUAGCAGGAGAAGAAUUCAUCUUAUGUAGGUAAGGAAGUCACUAGAAAAUUGUAUACCAUGCAGGCUUUUAGUUUCAUGAUUUCCACUGAUAUACAUCUUGCUAGAUGUUUCUGCAUUUUUGGCAAGCGCAGCAUGAUCGAUCAUAGUGGGUGAGAAGAACUGGCCCGUGAGAUAGGCAAUGGAACCAAGCAUAUCUGAUUCUAUGUUGUUAUCCAGAAAGCAGGCUAGAAGAGGAUCAGUGGCAUACACUAUGUCAAAGGCCCUAAUUACAGAACUCUUGUAACUCUCACCUUAUAUAAGAGAUCCAUCUGUGACUGAAAUCAUUAUAGAUGUGUGUUCACCGAAUCAGUUUGCUGAUGAUAGUUCUCAAAGAUGCAGGUACCCACACACAAGUUUUUAGCCCACGUCACUAGUGAGGGUGGUUUAGAGAGUGUUUUACAAGGCUAUCACCCUCAACCACAUACAUGCAUCAUCUCUAAUAUAAUGUUAUGCAAGCAUUUGGUAGACAUUGUGUGAACCCCUCUCACUAGAGAGGCAACUAGAUUGAUGAGACACAUCUUGAAUUGUCUUUAGAGACAUGUCCACAUGAGCGGUGAUAUCAAAGUUUUGUUUGGUUAAAUCCGCAUCUCUAUAGUUAACAUUAGUAACAUGUUUUUAGUGUCUGUGAUAUAUGGGUCUUCUUUAUGCUACCUUUGCAUAAUGAUAGUCUUCAUUGUUUGAGAUCUGCCAAGCAUGCACAACCCUAGUACAAAACUUUUAGCCAACUCCAAGCUAUUGAGAGUGGUGAUGGUUUUAUUGUUAGUCCUUGUGGUACAUAUAUAUUUAUGAUAGCAAAUUGUCUAAUAGCCUUUGGACAUUUUUUGGUUUCUACAUUAACUUCUUUUAAACUCAGCGGGGUAGGAAAGUACCACAUCUAUAAUUGUGAUGCAUACUUCCAAAUUGUAAGGAC
Molecule: long non-coding RNA, 2857 nt
Filed under: Sorghum bicolor (sorghum)
Lineage: Eukaryota; Viridiplantae; Streptophyta; Magnoliopsida; Poales; Poaceae
Description: long non-coding RNA (SBIC_LNC002253)
Source: RNAcentral